GACGAACGCUGGCGGCGUGCUUAACACAUGCAAGUCGAACGGAAAGGCCCCUUUGGGGGUACUCGAGUGGCGAACGGGUGAGUAACACGUGAGUAACCUGCCCUUGACUUCGGGAUAACUUCAGGAAACUGGGGCUAAUACCGGAUAGGAAUCUUUGCUGCAUGGUGGGGGUUGGAAAGCUUCGGCGGUUUUGGAUGGACUCGCGGCUUAUCAGCUUGUUGGUGGGGUAGUGGCUUACCAAGGCUUUGACGGGUAGCCGGCCUGAGAGGGCGACCGGCCACAUUGGGACUGAGAUACGGCCCAGACUCCUACGGGAGGCAGCAGUGGGGAAUAUUGCACAAUGGGCGGAAGCCUGAUGCAGCAACGCCGCGUGCGGGAUGACGGCCUUCGGGUUGUAAACCGCUUUCAGCAGGGGCGAAGCUUGUGGUGACGGUACCUGCAGAAGAAGCACCGGCUAACUACGUG
Molecule: ribosomal RNA, 465 nt
Filed under: uncultured bacterium
Lineage: Bacteria
Description: partial 16S ribosomal RNA
Rfam family: Bacterial small subunit ribosomal RNA
Source: RNAcentral